RNAcentral lists this ribosomal RNA (434 nucleotides) under uncultured bacterium. RNAcentral describes it as "bacterial SSU rRNA". It matches the Rfam family "Bacterial small subunit ribosomal RNA", at positions 343 to 794 of the family's 1533-position model. The record is from RNAcentral.
AGGAGGCAGCAGUGAGGAAUCUUGCACAAUGGGGGAAACCCUGAUGCAGCGACGCCGCGUGAGCGAUGAAGCCCUUCGGGGCGUAAAGCUCUUUCGGCCCGAACGAUAAUGACGGUACGGGAAGAAGAAGCUGCGGCUAACUACGUGCCAGCAGCCGCGGUAAUACGUAGGCAGCAAGCGUUGUUCGGAGUUACUGGGCGUAAAGAGUGCGUAGGCGGUGUCGAAAGUUUGGCGUGAAAUCUCCCGGCUUAACUGGGAGGGUGCGCCGAAAACUGCGACGCUGGAGUGUGGGAAAGGCAAGCGGAAUUCCUGGUGUAGCGGUGAAAUGCGUAGAUAUCAGGAGGAACACCGGCGGUGUAGACGGCUUGCUAGACCAUAACUGACGCUGAGGCACGAAAGCGUGGGUAGCAAACAGGAUUAGAUACCCCGGUAGU